UGAUCAGAGAUCACUCUUGUGGUCAUCUUGGUUUUGUUCCUCAGAAAAUUAAAUGUCGUCAGAAGACCAAGAAGCUCAGGAGGAUGAAUUGCUGGCCCCAGCGAGUAUUUACGAUGGAGAUGAAUUUAGAAAAGCAGUCUGUCCAAGGGGGAGAAACCAGGAUCUAUUUGGAUUUGCCAUAGAAUUUCAAGAUAUUUGUGAGCGCUAUCUGCUCUAUGGGAAGAACACCGUGGCAGCGUGAUCCUGUUUGCCUGGAUGCAAUUUCUUAAAGAAGAGACCCUAGUAUACCUGAAUAUUGUCUCUCCUUUUGAGCUCAAGAUUGAUUCUCAGAAAAAAGUGCAGAGGAGGACAGCUCAAGCCUCUCCCAACACAGAGCUAGAUUUUGGAGGAACUUCUGGAUCUGAUACAGACCAAGAGGAAAUUGUGGAUGAGACAGCUGUGUGCAGGAUGUGGAAUCAUUGUUAAAUAUGAUCCAGGAAAUCUUGGACUUUGAUCAAGCUCAGCAGAUAAAAUGCUUUAAUAGUAAUUUGUUCCUGUGCAAUAUCUGCUUCUGUAAGAAGCUGGGUAGUGAAUGCAUGUACUUCUUGGAGUGCAGGCAUGUGUACUGCAAAGCCUGUCUGAAGGACUACUUUGAAAUCCAGAUCAGAGAUGGCCAGGUUCAAUGCCUCAACUGCCCAGAACCAAAGUGCCCUUCAGUGGCCACUCCUGGUCAGGUCAAAGAGCUAGUGGAAGCAGAGUUAUUUGCCCAUUAUGACCGCCACCUUGUACCUGAUGGCAGAUGUGGUGUACUGCUCCCACCCAUGCUGCCAGCUGCCUGUGAUGCAGGAGCCUGGCUGCACCAUGGGUAUCUGCUCCAGCUGCAAUUUUGUCUUCUGUACCUUGUGCAGGUUGACCUACCAUGGGGUCUCUCCAUGUAAGGUGACUGCAGAGAAAUUAGUAGACUUACGAAAUGAAUACCUGCAAGCAGAAGAGGCCAAUAAAAGACUUUUGGAACAAAGGUAUGGUAAGAGGGUGAUUCAGAAGGCACUGGAGGAGAUGGAAAGUAAGGAGUGGCUAGAGAAAAACUUCAAGAACUGCCCAUGUUGUGGAACUCCCAUAGAGAAAUUAGAUGGAUAUAACAAGAUGACAUGUACUGGCUGUAUGCAAUAUUUCUGUUGGAUUUGCAUGAGUUCUCUCUCUAGAGCAAACCUUUACAAACAUUUCACUGAUCCUGCUUCACCAUGUUUUAACCAGCUGUUUGAUGCUGUGGAUGUUGAUGAAGAUAUUUGGGAAGAUGAGAUUGAAGACUAGUUAACUAUUGCUCAAGAUAUGGAAGUGGAUUGGUUUUCCCUAAUCUUUUGUCAAGUACACAAAGUAACCCUGCAGGAUAUUUAGGGUACUAUUCAUUCACUCUUCCUGUGUAGAAGAUAUGGAAGAACAAGGUUUAUAUUUUCAUGUGAUACUACUGAAGAGGGUGCAUUCAUACAUUUUUUAAUGUAAGUUGAGAAAAAUUAUAAGCCAAAGGUUCAGAAAAUGAAACUACAGAAUAUUAAAUAUUAUAAUGCGUCCAAAGCUCUGAAUAGUUAAAAAUUAAAUAUUUAUUGCCUUCCCCAAGCUUUAUAUAAGGAGAAGAGGGGUCAAGAGUUAAACUUACAGACGCUUUGUCUCUGA
Molecule: RNA transcript, 1650 nt
Organism: Nomascus leucogenys (northern white-cheeked gibbon)
Lineage: Eukaryota; Metazoa; Chordata; Mammalia; Primates; Hylobatidae
Gene name: E3 ubiquitin-protein ligase RNF14 pseudogene
Exons: 1
Source: RefSeq, a predicted model, not a curated record